GAAUAAAUCAUCUAAUGGUAAGAUUCCUGACUUUUAAUCAGUUUAUAUAGGUUCGAUUCCUAUUUUAUUCA
Non-coding RNA from Dujonia railenensis, 71 nucleotides. The record is from the annotation of a GenBank genome assembly. NCBI's taxonomy places the organism in Eukaryota, Fungi, Ascomycota, Pichiomycetes, Serinales, Debaryomycetaceae.